Molecule: ribosomal RNA, 427 nt
Filed under: uncultured bacterium
Lineage: Bacteria
Also listed under: 2 other names
Description: bacterial SSU rRNA
Rfam family: Bacterial small subunit ribosomal RNA
Source: RNAcentral
UGGGGAAUAUUGGACAAUGGGCGAAAGCCUGAUCCAGCCAUGCCGCGUGUGUGAAGAAGGUCUUCGGAUUGUAAAGCACUUUAAGUUGGGAGGAAGGGUUGUAGAUUAAUACUCUGCAAUUUUGACGUUACCGACAGAAUAAGCACCGGCUAACUCUGUGCCAGCAGCCGCGGUAAUACAGAGGGUGCAAGCGUUAAUCGGAAUUACUGGGCGUAAAGCGCGCGUAGGUGGUUUGUUAAGUUGGAUGUGAAAGCCCCGGGCUCAACCUGGGAACUGCAUUCAAAACUGACAAGCUAGAGUAUGGUAGAGGGUGGUGGAAUUUCCUGUGUAGCGGUGAAAUGCGUAGAUAUAGGAAGGAACACCAGUGGCGAAGGCGACCACCUGGACUGAUACUGACACUGAGGUGCGAAAGCGUGGGGAGCAAACA